GAUGAACGCUGGCGGCGUGCCUAAUACAUGCAAGUCGAGCGAACGGACGAGAAGCUUGCUUUUCUGAUGUUAGCGGCGGACGGGUGAGUAACACGUGGAUAACCUACCUAUAAGACUGGGAUAACUUCGGGAAACCGGAGCUAAUGCCGGAUAAUAUUUUGAACCGCAUGGUUCAAAAGUGAAAGACGGUCUUGCUGUCACUUAUAGAUGGAUCCGCGCUGCAUUAGCUAGUUGGUAAGGUAACGGCUUACCAAGGCAACGAUGCAUAGCCGACCUGAGAGGGUGAUCGGCCACACUGGAACUGAGACACGGUCCAGACUCCUACGGGAGGCAGCAGUAGGGAAUCUUCCGCAAUGGGCGAAAGCCUGACGGAGCAACGCCGCGUGAGUGAUGAAGGUCUUCGGAUCGUAAAACUCUGUUAUUAGGGAAGAACACAUGUGUAAGUAACUGUGCACAUCUUGACGGUACCUAAUCAGAAAGCCACGGCUAACUACGUG
RNAcentral lists this ribosomal RNA (497 nucleotides) under uncultured bacterium. Its description in RNAcentral is "partial 16S ribosomal RNA". It matches the Rfam family "Bacterial small subunit ribosomal RNA", at positions 28 to 507 of the family's 1533-position model. The record is from RNAcentral.